RNAcentral lists this long non-coding RNA (1414 nucleotides) under Apteryx rowi (Okarito brown kiwi). RNAcentral describes it as "lncRNA (ENSARWG00000006083.1)". Lineage: Eukaryota; Metazoa; Chordata; Aves; Apterygiformes; Apterygidae. The record is from RNAcentral.
AUGGCAGAGGUGCAAAAAACAAGUUUCUCUGCUGCUCUGCAGCAGGAGUGUGGAUGCCUACAGCUGGCAGCAACGCUGACCUGUGGACCCAAGGCCACCAGGACGCUGAGGGAGCCGCCCGGGAUAACCCGCUGGACUCUGUCAGUGUGUGACCUUCCCACUCUGCCCCAUGUGAAAGAGAGGCACCAAAAGCCAGCCAAAGCUGUCAUAGCAGAUGUGGUCUUCAGUGGGACACCCAGCAUCUCCAGCUGCCUGAGAAGAGCAGCGGUCCCUCAGUUUGACCAGCUAAAGUAUGUUCGACUUGCAAAACUAAAUCAGACGGUGGGAUAAACACCUAUUCUCCACUCCAAAGAACUCAUAAAGUAAUCUGAAGUCAAGAGACAGCACAUGGAUACAAACAGAUGGAUAGGGAAAUACAGAGAUUUUCCCCAACAGGCCGUGAGCGGCCAGAGACAUUCUGCACUUGUCGAAGCUAAAUCACAAAGCCGCUCUGCCUUACCCGCCCUGAGGAUGCCUAGGACUUUACAGACACUCCUGCUGCCACUGAAGCUGGCAGGUAGGCACUUUGGUCUCUGCAGAGUCAUGGUCUGUGUUGACAACCAACAAGUGCUAAUCAAAAUUUGACUUUUCAUCACUUUGUCCAAUUUGAAAGUCAUCUGCAUAGCCAGAAGCAGGGACUUUUUUACCAUUACUGUUCGAAAGACAUUCACUUAGCUGGGAGGAGAUACAAUCUACUAAAAUAUUUACACAAAGAGAGCUUUUUGAAAAUGAAGUCUGAUUCUUUUUCCACUUUCCCUCACGCAUCAAACAAUCUCAACGCAUCAGUCCCAAGCAUCCUGGGUGGGAGUGAUACUGAGGACCACGGAGACAGAGACCCCCGCACUCCCUGGGCCUGGGCCACACUAGCCCCACUUCGCUGCUGUUGUCUCCCCCUAGGAUAUUUGCUCCCUUUUGGUAAGAUUAGGGCAUGCAGAAGCUGAAUGACAAUGCAUGGAAUAACGAGACAACCCCACGUCUGCUUCAGAUCAGGACUUGCUGGGCACAACGGCCGCUUCAGCUGCUCCCCAUCUCCCCUUGCAUGGGAAUUGACGCAAUGGGGCUGUUGGUGGACGUGUGCUGCUAUGGAAAACACACAACUAGUUGCCUUUUUUCACCUGAACAGGCACUAGACCUAUUCCAGCUCUACAGUUUUUCCAGUUAUUUGUGUUCUGUGGUUGAAAUUUUCACUGUAUAUUUUAGAGGACAACUGAAAGCGCUCAGCACCAUUCUGAAUUUGGUCUGUCAGAGCUGAAGAAGUGACUCUUCUCCUGCAAAUACUUAAAAAAAAAAAGUCAGUCCCCAAACACUUAAGUCCAAAAUUAAAGUUUAUUUUGGUUUUAGAAGGAAACAAUAAAAUAAGUACAUGAGUAUGUCA